AGUCAAGCGCCGGCGGAACGGGUAUCAUUGAUGUUGAUAAAUAGGGUAAAUACUCUUGGCUU
RNAcentral lists this transfer RNA (62 nucleotides) under Arion ater ater. Its description in RNAcentral is "tRNA-Ile". Lineage: Eukaryota; Metazoa; Mollusca; Gastropoda; Stylommatophora; Arionidae. The record is from RNAcentral.